Molecule: ribosomal RNA, 468 nt
Filed under: uncultured bacterium
Lineage: Bacteria
Description: partial 16S ribosomal RNA
Rfam family: Bacterial small subunit ribosomal RNA
Source: RNAcentral
GACGAACGCUGGCGGCGGGCUUAACACAUGCAAGUCGAACGGAAAGGCCCUGCUUUUGUGGGGUGCUCGAGUGGCGAACGGGUGAGUAACACGUGAGUAACCUGCCCUUGACUUUGGGAUAACUUCAGGAAACUGGGGCUAAUACCGGAUAGGAGCUCCUGCUGCAUGGUGGGGGUUGGAAAGUUUCGGCGGUUGGGGAUGGACUCGCGGCUUAUCAGCUUGUUGGUGGGGUAGUGGCUUACCAAGGCUUUGACGGGUAGCCGGCUUGAGAGGGUGACCGGCCACAUUGGGACUGAGAUACGGCCCAGACUCCUACUGGAGGCAGCAGUGGGGAAUAUUGCACAAUGGGCGGAAGCCUGAUGCAGCAACGCCGCGUGCGGGAUGACGGCCUUCGGGUUGUAAACCGCUGUCGCCUGUGACGAAGCGUGAGUGACGGUAAUGGGUAAAGAAGCACCGGCUAACUACGUG